CCUACGGGUGGCAGCAGUGAGGAAUAUUGGUCAAUGGGCGGAAGCCUGAACCAGCCAAGUCGCGUGAGGGAGGAAGGUACAGAGUAUCGUAAACCUCUUUUGUCAGGGAACAAAGGCGGGGACGUGUCCCCGGAUGAGUGUACCUGAAGAAAAAGCAUCGGCUAACUCCGUGCCAGCAGCCGCGGUAAUACGGAGGAUGCGAGCGUUAUCCGGAUUUAUUGGGUUUAAAGGGUGCGCAGGCGGUCUGUUAAGUCAGCGGUCAAAGCCUGGGGCUCAACCCCGGCCCGCCGUUGAAACUGGCAGUCUCGAGUUGGAGAGAAGUAUGCGGAAUGCGCGGUGUAGCGGUGAAAUGCAUAGAUAUCGCGAAGAACUCCGAUUGCGAAGGCAGCAUGCCGGCUCCACACUGACGCUGAGGCACGAAAGCGUGGGUAUCGAACAGGAUUAGAUACCCUAGUAGUC
RNAcentral lists this ribosomal RNA (459 nucleotides) under uncultured bacterium. RNAcentral describes it as "partial 16S ribosomal RNA". It matches the Rfam family "Bacterial small subunit ribosomal RNA", at positions 338 to 795 of the family's 1533-position model. The record is from RNAcentral.